UUCUACUUAGCUUGGGUAACCAUGAUAUUCUGCUAGGCGUCACUCAUGGUUUGUGGAAGCCCUAAUGAUUAGCAAACACUAAUCAUCAAAGGAAGAAUUGAAAUGUGGUUUCAAUUCACAAUCGAUCGUUAAGAGUAACAUCGCCCACUGCCUCGCUAAAUGGAACCUAAUGGAUCGUACACCGAGUAAGGAUGUAUGUGAAGAAAUUAAAUGAAAUGGAUAAGCAAUUAAAUGGUUUAAUUGAAGAAUGGUCAAGAUUAAUUAAUUAGUUAAUUAAUUUUACGAAAGGUUCGUAUUGGGCUUAUAUGUUGGUUUUGGGUUUCGAGGCCCAAAAGCGUUUUGGUCCAAAAGGCCCAUUAUGUUUAAGUUGUAUGACAACUAAAACAAAAUGAACAACAAGCCCAACAACAAUAUGAUGGCCGGCCAUUAGGGGUGGAUGGUGAAAGCUUGCUUAAUUGCAAGUUUGCCACUCACCAAAGAAAAGGUUAUAAAAGCAACUUUAUAGCUAUUUUCUCUUUAGGGUUUUCUAGUUGAAAUUGGGUGAAACAUUUUCUCUCCAUUUUCUUCCAAGAGGCCGGCCACUAAGGGGAGGGACAUCUAGCAAUCUCUUCUUCCCUAAGUCAUCCAUAUCAUCUUCACAAGAUACAUCCUUGGUGAAGAGACUUAGAGACAUCAAACUUUUGAUGUUUUGGAGAACAUAUCCUCAUUUCCUCAAAUCUUCAAAGGAGCACUAAAAAGGAGGAAAAACACAAGGAAGAUUCAAGGAUCUUGGAGGUGACUUGAAGGCCCUCCACUUGGGUGAAUCCCUUGUGUAAACAAGGAUGAGCUUCAAGGGUAAAGAAACUCUAAAUCUUUACUUAUUUUUAAUGUUGUUAAAGAGUUUAUUUUGGUUCACCAUAUACUAGGCUUUGAAAGUCAUGGGUUUUAUGAAUUGUUUUUGGAUGCAUGCCUACUUUAAAGUGUUAAUAGCUUGCAUGUGUAUUCAAAUGUUCAUACUUGUUCUUAGCUAGGACAAAAUUUUUCCUUCACGGACUUCUUUGGGACAACUUGAACCGGUGAGACCCAACGGCUAUCCGAAAUUGGAUAAAUCACUCCACAAUCGAGAAAGCUUUAUAAUCUCCUUUUCACAACUUCUAUCAUUGAAAGGUUGAGUCGGCAUUGAGCCUCUCGAGUUGGUUUAGCCCCCUCCUCUAGAAAUAUGCGAUGCAUGCAUGUUGUAGGGCUAAUCCCCUUAAUAUCGGCCAAUGUCCAUCCAAUGGCUGUUUUGUGCUCUUUCAACACCCGAAUCAACUUUUCCUCCUCUAAUGUCGUGAGUGAUAAGGAGACAAUGACGGGCAACGUCUCUUCAUCUCCCAAAAAUACAUACUUUAAAUGAUCCGGCAAUGGUUUAAGCUCAAGAACGGAGGCCUGAAUCACAUAAGGUAACAACGUAUUAGUGGAAACGGGAAUUGGAAUUGGGUUAGAAGGCUUACCAUGAUGUUGUGGCAAUGAUUCAAAGGCAGCCACAAGCUCGGCAUGUUCUUCCUUAGGUACGGCUAGAUUGGGCUUCAUUCCAAUUCCUUGUGCAAUUGCUAUUUCAAGGGGAUCGUCUUCCAACAUAUCAAGAUAAUCAUGCGCCAAUUCAUCCAAUACAUCAAUAGAAAAACAAGAAUGAUCAUCUUUAGGAAAUUUCAUAGCUUCAGAAAUGUUAAAAUUAAUAAUCUCCCCAUCAAAUUCUAUUGUUAACGUCCCUUUGAACACAUCGAUCUUGGUGCGUGCUAUUUUCAUGAAGGGCCUCCCAAGUAAAAUCGGCAAUGGGGUGACAUUUGGUGAGUCCUCCAUCUCUAAAACGUAGAAAUCCGCUGGGAAUAUCAAGUUAUCCACCUGCACCAAAACAUCUUCCAAAACUCCUUUCGGAUAUGCAUUAGACGAUCGGCUAAUUGAAUUAUAACACCAUCGUUUUUAAGCUCUCCUAAGUUCAUAGAUGCAUAAUUGAGUAUGGCAUGACAUUAAUUGAAGCUCCUAGAUCUAACAUAGCAUGUUCAAACUUAGUAUUGCCUAUAACACAUGGAUUUGUAAAACUACCUGGAUCUUUGCAUUUAGGGGGUAAUUUUCUUUGCAAAACAGCGGAAACAUUCUCACUUACCUAGACAACCUCUUUGUUUGAAAUUCUCCUUCUUGUUGUACAUAGUUCCUUCAAAAACUUGGCGUACCUUGGUACUUGCUUAAUUGCGUCAAGAAGAGGUAUAUUGACUUGCACUUUCCGAAACGUCUCCAAAACGUCUCCAAAAUAGCUUGCAUGUGUAUUCAAAUGUUCAUACUUGUUCUUAGCUAGGACAAAAUUUUUCCUUCAAGUGGUAUCAGAGCCUAGGCCUAGUGUAUGGUGAUUCCUUUUGGGUUUUGUGAUAUUCAUAUUUUGUGAUUUAAAUGUUGUAAAUGUUACAAGCUUUGUUCUUGCUUUUGAAUAUAUAAAUUUUGCUAGAAAAUUUAGCAUCUCAAAUGUUGUAGAUGUAUUUCAUUCAAGCAUGAAUAUUGGAACUAAAAUUUGGUGCCAUGUGUUUUGGGAAAUUCGGCCAAAUCCAAAGGGUGAUCUUUUGGUUCAUGUUUGUCUUGUUAAAAAUGGUUUUAAGGUGACUUUGGAACCCUAAGUACCCUAGGACAUUAGCCAUCUUUUGUGUAGUGAAAAUUUGUUUUUUUGUUGAGUGAAAACAUUCAUGGAGCUCUUAUGAGUUUUUCAUGUUUGUUCUUCAUGUUCUUGCCAAGAACAAAAAGUUUUGAAGUUUUGAUUUAAAGGUUUUAUGUUUUUCAUAAAGUUUUGGUUAUUAAUUUGUAUUAUAACUUAAGGGUGAAGAAAGGAAAAUGUCAUUAAUGUUUACAAAACAUUUUCUUACAUUUUCUUACAAGUCUUUAAAGUUUGCAAAGACUUUCUUCACCAACCAAUCCACUUGCUAAAGUGCUUUAAUCAACUUGCAAAAACUUUUUAAAAAAUUUCAAAAUUUUCACUUGUUCACUCCCUUUGGCCGGCCACCCUAACAAGUAGGGUACUUUUGGGCCCUUUUGUGCAAUUACAUAAAGUUUUGAUACUUUUGUGUUUUUGUAUUUUGGCCCAAAAGUUUACGUUUUUACGUUUAGGCCUAAAAACUCUAAAGGUCAAAUUGUUUUGAUCCUUUAAUGAUGUUUUUACAUUAAUAAAAUUUUGGGAUCUAGUUGUAAUUACAUGAAGUUGUGGACUAUUGUGUUUUUACAAAGUGACCCCAAAAGUUUUUGUAUUUGCAUUAUGGCCCAAUUGUUGUGGUCAUAGUUUCCUUUUAGCCCAAAUAAAAUGAGAACAAAAUUGUUUUGUCUCUUUAAUGAGAAUUGGAUUUUCAUUUCAUAUAGUUUCCAUUUAAAUCAAUUCUAUGGAUCCAAAAACCAAUUGUUUAAGCUGUUUUCUUAGUUAAUGUGAUUAAUUGAGAAAAUGGGUGAUUAUGAACCAAAGGCCUCGAUAAUUGAGCUAUGUGAUUGCCGCUUUACAUUAUGAAUGUUUGGGUUUUAGAGUAAGAUUUGAAUGUAAUUUGAUUAAUUCAAUUUGUUGUAAAUGGACAUAAGUCCACAUUUGAUUUGUGUUGUAAAAGGGCAUAAGCCCUUAUUAUUAUUUCAUUGUAUUCCUUUUGUUAUAUGUAUGCAAAUGGAAUAGUUGGGUCCAACGCCCAAUAGGAAAUAACGGUUUAAUUGGAUUAAACGCGUAACUAAAUCAACAAAUAUCUACCUUAAACCCAAGGUCCAACACAAGGCUCCGUUGGAUCAAAAUCAAUCGUUCAUAAUCAUCCUAAAAACCUAAUAUGACUAUAUAGUCCAUAUGAGGAUGCAAUGCAUUCGUUAGUAGUUCUAUAUAGUCUCGCUUGUUUUCUUCGAAAUAGUGGGAGUAUUAUAAACUACUAAUCAUAUAACUUGGACCAAUGGUUUAGGCCCAAGUUCUUUUAAUGUGAUUAAAAUGUUUUGAUGUAGCCAAAAACUACUCCCUCAAAACAAAUAUUAAGUUGAUAAGCGAGAGAUGUUUUGAACAUCUCUUCGUAGGCCUUCCACCGUGGUGGGCUCCAAGCAUUUGUGACUCAUGCACCGGCUUCACCCUAUCAUGGGGAAGUUACAAAGCAUGUGCUACAUCCAGGAGAAUCAUAUACAUAUGAUGAGGUGAGUGUAGGCAACGAGGAUAGCCGAUAUCAUAUCAUUGUGAGGCUAUUCUGAACACCUUCACAAACUAAGCAUGGUGAAAACUUAACUAAGUGCAAUGGAGCCGAUAUCGUAUCAUCGUGAGGCAACAUUCUCUAGAGGCCAAAGGAUGGUAAUUACAAGAUUGUAAAUGAAUAAGCGUUAUUCUCUCAUCAUUAUUUUUGCUAACCAAUAUCGUAUCAUCGUGAGGUGGGCUUGGUAAUGGUGAGUCUCCCAUACCCCGCGAAGAGUUCAAUAUAACUCUCAAAUUCUAUUGAGGGAUUGAAUUUGCCAAAAAUAGUGGUGGUGCUAUUUGGUUCAAAGACCCAAUUAAAUAGUUUUAAACAAACAAUCUAAUACGAUUUCUGUUAUGUUAUGUAGUGAACAACAAUCCUAAAAUUAUACCCACCAUUAUACUUGACAAAAAGGGCCUUAGGCCAACGUUUCCUUGCUUGGUAUCACCACAUUGAGAAUUCUCAAAGGUGAAAGACAUAUUGUAUGUGCUUAAGCAAUCCCAUCUUCAUGUACCUCCUACGAAACUAGCUUUAAAAGGAGGAGUGUCAAAAUUAUGUUAGACAUGAGGAGGACUUACAAGCAAAAUGCUUAAUCCUCACUUCACUUAGUGAGAGCUUAUGAAGCUACAUAAGCACAUGGACACUUCUUGUGCAUGGUUUGAAAGUUUGCAUAAGAUGCAUGACAUUGAGACUAGUAAUGUACGAUUCUCAAUGUUUGUAGUCUAAUGAAUGCCAAAUGGCAAAAGGGGCAUCGGUCCAUAAACAUGGACAAAAUGGAAAAGAUAUUUAAUCUUAAAAGUUUAGGAACUUCCAUCGAUGGGAAAAUGCCAAGUUUUUUCCUUGCAUCUCUCUCGAUUAUUCACUAAGUUUAUUGUAAACUAUAAAGUGAAUAGAUUCGAUCAUUCUUUGAAAGAGAUGAUUGACAUGUGCUGUAAAUUUGAAAAAGGUUUCAAAGGGACAGUGGGAGUGAGAAGCAAUGAUAAGAAAAGGUUGCAUAAGAAGAAGGCAAAGAAUCCAAAGGAACAUGCUUUCAUUGUGGAAAGGAAUGAAACGUGGAAGAAGAAAUACAGGUGCGCAUUGCAGCCUUAUGACACGAACUUUUGAAGAGACUAUUUCUAUCAUAGAGAGUUCUUUUACAGUGAGCUCCAAUUCCUGGAUAUUUGAUUCAGGCCGCUAGUCAACAUAUCUGUAAAUCGAUGCAGGACUAGUGGGAAGCAAGCCAUUGAGCAAUGGGAGAUGUUGUGGGACGUUAGGAAUGCACUAAAAUCUCUGCAAAAGCAACAGGACCUCAUGCUUAACCUACCCUCUGGGGAGUCCUGAACUUAAAAUGUUUAUAUUUCCUUCAUGUAUAAAGAAUUUUGAUUUCAUCUCUAAGCUUUUACGAGAUGGCACUCAGUAUUGUUUGACAAAAAUGAGUUGCACUUUAUACUUGAACGGUCGUAUUAUCUCUCAUGGUAAUAUGAUAGAGGACUUUUUCACCUAGAGAACGAAUAGUGGGAUGCACUGUAUUGCAAGCGGGAAUACCUCAAAACCCAAAAAGGCUAGAGAAGAAGUUGACCAAGAAAAGAUGUGGCAUCUUAAACUUGGACAUGUGAACCUUGAUAAGAUUCACAAGAUGUCGAAAGACGAUAUAUCCGCCCAUUAGGUAAUGACAAGAUGGGUACUUGUGAAUGUUGCUUGAAGGGAAGAUGACCAAAUCUCCAUUUACUGGAAAAGGAGAGCUGCCACUGAAAUUCUAGGGUUAAUCCACACUGACUAUGUGACCUAUUCUACUACGUCGAGAGGAGGCUUCUCCUACUAUAUCAUUCACCGACGAUCACUCUCGGUUUGGCUAUGUGUAUCUUAUGAAGUACAAGUCAGAAUCCUUUGAAAGGUUCAAAGAAUUCAAGAAUGAAGUUGAGAAGCAAACUGGGAAACAGAUAAAGAUCCUAAGAUCGGAUCGAGGGUGAAUAUCUGAGUAAUGAGUUCCUAGAUUAUCUUAAAGAGUGUGGAAUAAAAUCACAGUGGACUCCACCGGGAACUCACACUUAAUGGAGUUUCUGAAAGGAGAAAUCGAACCUUGAUGAACAUGGUUCAUUCUAUGAUGAGUUCUGCUGAUUCUACCAGUAACAUUCUGGGGAUACGCUCUAUACACAGCAGCUUACUUGCUAAUAGAGUACCUUUCAAAUCAGUUUCACAAACGCCCUAUGAGAUAUGGCAUGAAGAAAGUUAAGUCUUAAAACAUUAAGAUGUGGGUUUGAAGCAAUGUCAAAAGCUUGAAGCUACUAAGCUUGAAGCGAGAUCAGUANNNNNNNNNNNNNNNNNNNNNNNNNNNNNNNNNNNNNNNNNNNNNNNNNNNNNNNNNNNNNNNNNNNNNNNNNNNNNNNNNNNNNNNNNNNNNNNNNNNNNNNNNNNNNNNNNNNNNNNNNNNNNNNNNNNNNNNNNNNNNNNNNNNNNNNNNNNNNNNNNNNNNNNNNNNNNNNNNNNNNNNNNNNNNNNNNNNNNNNNNNNNNNNNNNNNNNNNNNNNNNNNNNNNNNNNNNNNNNNNNNNNNNNNNNNNNNNNNNNNNNNNNNNNNNNNNNNNNNNNNNNNNNNNNNNNNNNNNNNNNNNNNNNNNNNNNNNNNNNNAAUGUCUCAAAUCCAGCUUGACGUCAUAUUGAUAAGAUGGGUAUAGAUACAUGGGAGGAUGGCUUUGAGUGCAAGUGGGAGAUUGUUGGAAGUAUGCCCACAAAGCCACUCAUUUAAUGUAAUAGCUUUUUGGAAUACUUAUGUAUUAAACUAAUUUAUAUGUUAAUGGAGGGCAAACUUAUUGUUAAUCACUAUUUAUUGUAUUAUGUGUUUAAGCAAAAGAGAAUCCAAGGAAUGUAUUUGUUCUAAGAGAUAAGUGAUCUAAGUGAAGUUAGAUUAUCGAGACCUUUCUCUUAUCUUCAUUCCUAAAACGUUCCUAGCCAUAGGAUUGCCAAUUGGGCAUUGACAGUCCGUAAGGUUAGUAUGUGUGUCUUCUCUCAAGCGUGAGUAUGACUAGUCUCAAGUCAUUUGCUGUGGACACUGAAGACAAACACAUAGGUGCUCAAAGAGUAAUCGAGUUCACUGAACACAAUCAAAAGAGAGUUCGAACAUACAUGUCAUGUAUAAACUCUAAAGUUGGGAAUAUGCAAAGUAGUCCUUUGACCUGAGGCAUCAUAGAUUGUCUAAUGGUUUAGGUCCUUGAUCUUUGAUCAUGUCAAAGGCAUUCCCAUCGGUGUCCACGGCAUUGUUGGGUUAAGCCAUCUAGCCAUGGAGGCAAGUGAAUGCACAACAAGGGAUCUCUAACCUUCCAUGGUGGAAGGAGAAUACUCUAUGAUAUGAUUCUAAGAAUCUUUGGCCAAAGCAAAUGAAUAUGACUUAGGAAGUUUGUUCCAAAUCAUAUUCAAGGGAAUCAUAUAGGAAAGUAAUCACAUUGGAUAGUAGACAUGAAACAAACUAUCAAACUUAAACAAUGUGAUCAAGAGUAUUGUAUUAGAGAAGACCGUUAUUGCAUUGUAGUCCUAACUGGAAUAGGUUCUCCAACCAAUUCUACUUAGCUUGGGUAACCAUGACAUUCUGCUUAGGUGUCACUCAUGGUUUGUGGAAGCCCUAAUGAUUAGCAAACACUAAUCAUCAAAGGGAGAAUUGAAAUGUGGUUUCAAUUCACAAUCGAUCGUUAAGAGUAACAUCGCCCACUGCCUCGCUAAAUGGAACCUAAUGGAUCGUACACCGAGUAAGGAUGUAUGUGAAGAAAUUAAAUGAAAUGGAUAAGCAAUUAA
Molecule: long non-coding RNA, 7945 nt
Filed under: Malus domestica (apple)
Lineage: Eukaryota; Viridiplantae; Streptophyta; Magnoliopsida; Rosales; Rosaceae
Description: long non-coding RNA (MDOM_LNC018448)
Source: RNAcentral